UACGUAGGAUGCAAGCGUUGUCCGGAUUUACUGGGCGUAAAGCGCGCGCAGGCGGCAGUGUAAGUAAGGUGUGAAAUAUCCCGGCUCAACCGGGAGGGUGCACUUUAGACUACACAGCUUGAGGUCGGUAGAGGGGGGGUAGAAUUGCUGGUGUAGCGGUGAAAUGCGUAGAGAUCAGCAGGAAUACCCGUGGCGAAGGCGGCCCCCUGGGCCGUACCUGACGCUGAGGCGCGAAGGCUAGGGGAGCGAACGGG
This 254-nucleotide ribosomal RNA is filed under the name uncultured bacterium. RNAcentral's name for it is "partial 16S ribosomal RNA". It matches the Rfam family "Bacterial small subunit ribosomal RNA", at positions 524 to 776 of the family's 1533-position model. The record is from RNAcentral.